ACUGAUCGUAAAGCGCCAGCACUGUAGCUGCCCGACGUGGAGUACAGUGGACGAGGUGGAGGUUUAUCGAAAGAUUCGGCGGGUACCUCCCGGCAGUCGUAUCACUGCCGUGGAGCGCAGGGACAAAACAUCGGAGUGAUCGGAUGGACAAAGACCUGCGCUUGAUACGUU
This 171-nucleotide non-coding RNA is filed under the name Brevibacillus panacihumi. RNAcentral describes it as "GlcN6P sequence". It matches the Rfam family "glmS glucosamine-6-phosphate activated ribozyme aptamer". From Rfam's summary of the family: This entry contains a glucosamine-6-phosphate activated ribozyme that is found in the mRNA for GlmS. GlmS is an enzyme that uses fructose-6-phosphate and glutamine to generate glucosamine-6-phosphate. RNAcentral also lists the same sequence under 1 other name. Lineage: Bacteria; Bacillati; Bacillota; Bacilli; Caryophanales; Paenibacillaceae. The record is from RNAcentral.